UACGGAGGGUGCAAGCGUUAUCCGGAUUUAUUGGGUUUAAAGGGUGCGCAGGCGGGACCUUAAGUCAGUGGUGAAAUCCCUUCGCUUAACGAAGGAACUGCCAUUGAUACUGAGGUUCUUGAAUCUAGUUGACGUUAGUGGAAUGUGUCAUGUAGCGGUGAAAUGCUUAGAUAUGACACAGAACACCGAUCGCGAAGGCAGCUAACGAAGCUAGUAUUGACGCUCAGGCACGACAGCAUGGGGAGCAAACAGG
RNAcentral lists this ribosomal RNA (253 nucleotides) under uncultured bacterium. RNAcentral's name for it is "partial 16S ribosomal RNA". It matches the Rfam family "Bacterial small subunit ribosomal RNA", at positions 524 to 776 of the family's 1533-position model. The record is from RNAcentral.